CAGUAGCCGCGGUAAUACGUAGGUGGCAAGCGUUGUCCGGAAUUAUUGGGCGUAAAGGGCUCGCAGGCGGUUUCUUAAGUCUGAUGUGAAAGCCCCCGGCUCUACCGGGGAGGGUCAUUGGAAACUGGGAAACUUGAGUGCAGAAGAGGAGAGUGGAAUUCCACGUGUAGCGGUGAAAUGCGUAGAGAUGUGGAGGAACACCAGUGGCGAAGGCGACUCUCUGGUCUGUAACUGACGCUGAGGAGCGAAAGCGUGGGGAGCGAACAGGAUUAGAUACCCCGGUAGUCCCUGUCUCUUAUAU
This 301-nucleotide ribosomal RNA is filed under the name uncultured bacterium. RNAcentral's name for it is "partial 16S ribosomal RNA". It matches the Rfam family "Bacterial small subunit ribosomal RNA", at positions 509 to 809 of the family's 1533-position model. The record is from RNAcentral.